Empidonax traillii (willow flycatcher) is the source of this 195-nucleotide long non-coding RNA. RefSeq lists it as uncharacterized. The record is from RefSeq and is a predicted model, not a curated record. The transcript has 3 exons. NCBI's taxonomy places the organism in Eukaryota, Metazoa, Chordata, Aves, Passeriformes, Tyrannidae.
CCGACAAACUCGCCCACCUCUACCCUGCGUUACCCCCGCUUACACCCUCGCCGCCGCGCUUCGGAGCGGGUGCCGCCGCCGCCGGCACAGGCGGUUUUGACCUUUCAAUAGAGAGCUGAUUUUGGAGAACGGCUUACUCCUGUGACUGAAAAACUCUAUGGAAGGUUGAUGGAGCAUGAGCUUGCUUGCUUUUUG